This 713-nucleotide ribosomal RNA is filed under the name uncultured bacterium. RNAcentral's name for it is "partial 16S ribosomal RNA". It matches the Rfam family "Bacterial small subunit ribosomal RNA", at positions 72 to 779 of the family's 1533-position model. The record is from RNAcentral.
AUCCUAGCUUGCUAGGAGGCGUCGAGCGGCGGACGGGUGAGUAACGCGUGAGAAUCUACCCAUGAGNGGGGGACAACCCGGGGAAACUCGGGCUANUACCGCAUACGCCCUACGGGGUAAAGCAGGGGACCUUCGGGCCUUGCGCUGAUGGAUGANCUCGCGUCGGAUUANCUUGUUGGNGAGGUAAAGGCUCNCCAAGGNGACGAUCCGUAGCUGGUCUGAGAGGAUGAUCAGCCACNCCGGGACUGAGACACNGCCCGNACUCCUACGGGAGGCNGCAGUGGGGAAUCUUGGACAAUGGGGGCAACCCUGAUCCAGCCAUGCCGCGUGUGUGAAGAAGGCCUUCGGGUUGUAAAGCACUUUCNGCAGGGAGGAAGGNUUACCCCUAAUACGGGUGAGUACUUGACGUUNCCUGCAGAANAAGCACCGGCUANUUUCGUGCCNGCAGCCGCGGUAAUACGAAAGGUGCAAGCGUUAAUCGNAAUUACUGGGCGUAAAGCGCGCGUAGGCGGUGUGUUAAGUCGGAUGUGAAAGCCCAGGGCUCAACCUUGGAAUUGCAUCCGAUACUGGCACGCUAGAGUGCAGUAGAGGGAGGUGGAAUUUCCGGUGUAGCGGUGAAAUGCGUAGAGAUCGGAAGGAACACCNGUGGCGAAGGCGGNCUCCUGGACUGACACUGACNCUGAGGUGCGAAAGCGUGGGGAGCANACNNGAUU